RNAcentral lists this ribosomal RNA (1354 nucleotides) under metagenome. RNAcentral describes it as "SSU rRNA". It matches the Rfam family "Eukaryotic small subunit ribosomal RNA", at positions 1 to 1389 of the family's 1831-position model. The record is from RNAcentral.
UCUGGUUGAUCCUGCCAGUAGUCAUAUGCUUGUCUCAAAGAUUAAGCCAUGCAUGUCUAAGUAUAAAUAGUAUACAGUGAAACUGCGAAUGGCUCAUUAAAACAGUUAUAGUUUAUUUGAUAAUUGACAAUUACAUGGAUAACCGUGGUAAUUCUAGAGCUAAUACAUGCUUAAACGCCCGACUUUAUGGAAGGGUGGUAUUUAUUAGACUGAAGCCAAUAUUCCUUGUGUCUAUUGCGGUGAUUCAUAAUAACUGAUCGAAUCUCUUUUUGAGGUAAAUCAUUCAAGUUUCUGCCCUAUCAGCUUUCGAUGGUAGUGUAUUGGACUACCAUGGCAGUAACGGGUAACGAAGAAUUAGGGUUCGAUUUCGGAGAGGGAGCAUGAGAAACGGCUACCACAUCUAAGGAAGGCAGCAGGCGCGUAAAUUACCCAAUCCUGACUCAGGGAGGUAGUGACAAGAAAUAGCAAACCGGGAACCUCAUGGUUUCACGGUAUUGCAAUGAGAACAAUUUAAAACCCUUAGCGAGAAUCAAGUGGAGGACAAGUCUGGUGCCAGCACCCGCGGUAAUUCCAGCUCCACUAGCGUAUAUUAAAGUUGUCGCAGUUAAAAAGCUCGUAGUUGAACCUCUGUCUGGGGCUAGUUUUGGCUUUGGUCAGGCUAGUUCUAGGCAUCCGCCUACAAGACUUAGAGGGCAUUCAGUUGUUCACUAGGAGGAGUAGGCAUUUUACUUUGAAAAAAUUAGAGUGUUUAAGGCAGGCAAUCGCCCGCAUAUAUUAGCAUGGAAUAAUAGAAUAGGACACUUUUCCAUUUCGUUGGUUAUUGGAAUCGUGUAAUGAUUAAUAGGGACAGUUGUGGGCAUUUGUAUUUAAUUGUCAGAGGUGAAAUUCUUGGAUUUAUUAAAGACAAACUAACGCGAAAGCAUUUGCCAAGGAUGUUUUCAUUAAUCAAGAACGAAAGUUAGGGGAUCAAAGACGAUCAGAUACCGUCCUAGUCUUAACUAUAAACUAUUCCGACUCAAUGUUUGACUGGCUUAUAUAACCAGUUGAGCGUUGUAUGAGAAAUCAAAGUCUUUAGGUUCUGGGGGGAGUAUGGUUGCAAAGCUGAAACUUAAAGGAAUUGACGGAAGAGCACAACCAGGAGUGGAUUCUGCGGCUUAAUUUGACUCAACACGGGGAAACUUACCAGGUUAAAACAAUAGUGGGAUUGACAGUUUGAGAGCGCUUUCUUGAUUGGUUGGGUGGUGGUGCAUGGCCGUUCUUAGUUGGUGGAGUGAUUUGUCUGCUUAAUUGCGUUAACGAACGAGACCUUAACCUGCUUACUAGACUGGCGAUCAUCAAUCGUUAGCUCUUCUUG